Mus musculus (house mouse) is the source of this 351-nucleotide long non-coding RNA. RefSeq annotates it as predicted gene, 53437. The transcript is spliced from 2 exons. The record is from RefSeq and is a predicted model, not a curated record. Lineage: Eukaryota; Metazoa; Chordata; Mammalia; Rodentia; Muridae.
UCACUCUAAUGCACACGCACCCAUUAGUCUUCCUUUUAUUUCUCUUUGUCCAUAGGGGCCCCUCCCCUCCCCCAUUGUUGCUCGAACACAGGGAACAUCAAAAGCUUUUCUGCGAGGUUUUUAGGAGAAGCGAGGCCAUCAGAAGCGAAGCGCAGGUGCUAGAGAGCUCCUCCGUCCAGCAGCGGCUGGUCAAGCCCGGCGAGUCCUGUGUAUUCCUGGGUGAGGAUGACCUUGAACUCCUGACCCUCCCUUUGCUGUCCAAGUACUGGAUGACAGGCGUGUUCUACCACUGUGCUUCUGCUAAUAAAAUAGGUUUUUAAUCUAAAACAUACAGAUUGUAUGUUAAACAUA